GACGAACGCUGGCGGCGUGCUUAACACAUGCAAGUCGAACGGUAAGGCUCCAGCUUGCUGGGGUACACGAGUGGCGAACGGGUGAGUAACACGUGGGUGACCUGCCCUGCACUUCGGGAUAAGCCUGGGAAACUGGGUCUAAUACCGGAUAGGACCAUGGUGUGGAUACUGUGGUGGAAAGUUUUUUCGGUGUGGGAUGGGCCCGCGGCCUAUCAGCUUGUUGGUGGGGUAAGGGCCUACCAAGGCGGCGACGGGUAGCCGGCCUGAGAGGGUGGACGGCCACAUUGGGACUGAGACACGGCCCAGACUCCUACGGGAGGCAGCGGUGGGGAAUAUUGCACAAUGGGCGGAAGCCUGAUGCAGCGACGCCGCGUGGGGGAUGACGGCCUUCGGGUUGUAAACUCCUUUCACCAUCGACGAAGGGUUUCUGACGGUAGAUGGAGAAGAAGCACCGGCUAACUACGUG
RNAcentral lists this ribosomal RNA (466 nucleotides) under uncultured bacterium. RNAcentral describes it as "partial 16S ribosomal RNA". It matches the Rfam family "Bacterial small subunit ribosomal RNA", at positions 28 to 507 of the family's 1533-position model. The record is from RNAcentral.